Molecule: ribosomal RNA, 497 nt
Filed under: uncultured bacterium
Lineage: Bacteria
Description: partial 16S ribosomal RNA
Rfam family: Bacterial small subunit ribosomal RNA
Source: RNAcentral
GGGGGGGGGGGGGGGGGGGGGUAGUGCGGGCGAGGGGAGGGCGGAGGGGUGGUACUUGUGCCGCCGGGGUGGGCAGCGCACGUGUGGGUAACGCGUGGGGAAUCUGCCUUUGAGCGGGGGACAACAUUUGGAAACGCCUGCUAAUACCGCAUCAAAACUUUCAACACAAGUUUUAAGGUUGAAAGAUGCCAUUGCAUCACUCACAGAUGCUCCCGCGUUGUCUUAGCUAGGUGGUGAGGUCAAGGCUCACCAAGGCGAUGAUCCCUAGCCGACCUGUGAGGGUGAGCGGCCACAUUGAGACUGAGACACGGCCCAAACUGCUACGGGAGGCAGCAGGAGGGAAUCUUCGGCAAUGGACGAAAGUCUGACCGAGCAACGCCGCGGGAGUGAAGAAGGUUUUCGGAUCGGAAAACUCGGUUGGUAGAGAAGAACGUUGGUGAGAGUGGAAAGCUGAUCAAGUGACGGUAACUACCCUGAAAGGGACGGCUAACUACGUG